Molecule: long non-coding RNA, 3511 nt
Filed under: Nicotiana tabacum (common tobacco)
Lineage: Eukaryota; Viridiplantae; Streptophyta; Magnoliopsida; Solanales; Solanaceae
Description: long non-coding RNA (NTAB_LNC001750)
Source: RNAcentral
UUUGAUAAAAAAAAUACAAAACUAGUACCUUAUUUUUAUCUUAUAUAUUGAAAAUAAAAAAAAUAGUUUCGCGUUUUAAUAUAGUUUAAUUUAAUUAAUUAGAAUUAGUUUUUGCAUUGUGUAGUAUUUUUAUCUUUAUUAAAGAGAGUUAACUAAGGUUUUGGACCACAACUUUAAGAGUCUUAGAGCCCACUUUUAGGACCCCAUUCGGACUUGGCCCAAAAAAGAUAGGCCCAAUACCCAUUAAACCCUUCACCCUUAAAAAACCCUAACCUAGUAUUGGAAGUUUUCAGCCGCAAAAACAAAAAACAACCCCCUCCCCCUAUACAUGAGUUUCAUCUUCCUUACACCUAAGUAGAUGAACCCUAGACCUAACAAGGAACCUAACCAGCCAUUUCUGAUCUUGAGAGACAACGAUCGUCUGCCUGAAAAAACCAAGAUAAACUCUAAAUCUAGGAACCCAACAGUUUCUUCUUAACAAAGAACACCAAGAACCCUAGAAGAAUUCCUCAUCUCCUCCAUACCCUAAGCAACCAAGACCAGCUGUAGAACACUACAGUCCCCCUCGUCUCUGCUUCUUCUUCUUCACUUCACAGCCGGACAUCAUAAAAACCGCGCACGCAUAGAAGAAGCCAACACCUGUCCAUCAUCCUAUCUUCUCUAGUCAUCGCCGGUCCACGACAAGCGAAGCUUCGAUCUAAAAGAAUGAGGAGAAUAGUGAAUAAUUAGCUGCUACUUUAUUCUAUCUUCUAACAUCUUCAAAUACUCAAAUAUGCCACCAUGAACAAGGACACACAACCACAUGUUUGAUUGCUGCCACAAAACAGUCACUGCCUAUUAGACAUUUUUGUUUCUUCAUUUAGUUAUGAUUUUUGGUUUUCUGAGUGUGGGAAUGGAGUUAAGCCGAGGUUGACUAGAGUUUGUCGCCCAUUGGAGGUUCAAGUCGUGUCGUGCGUGUUCCUAUUCGUGGCUCUUGAAUUAUUCUGAUGUUGUACUUUGCAAUUGGAUCCAAUAGAUUUGAGGCGUUAUAUUUGCACCUUCCCGAUUAAUCAAAAGUUUUUGCACGUUAAGGUCCAAUUCUUCAAUCCUUUACUCAUUCUAGUGUUAAUUGUGUUUGGUGAUUUGAUUUUGUGACUUGUUAAAUAUGAUUUUGAAUGUGUCUGCUCGUAUGUCUACUUGAACUAACUGAGAGUGAAUUGGAAUCGCACGUCUAGUUAGUUGAAUCUUAUGCUUAAUUUGGAUUCGAAUAGUGGACUGUCAGUGGUUGGAUUUGUAUGUCUAUGAUUGUAUGUUUACUUAAUGAGCAGAAAAGUGACAGUAGUAUACAUUUGUUUAGAACAACAUUGUGUUUUGCCAAUCUCAUUAGCUGGUACAGUGAAACCCUUGUUUCUCUUUAAAUGUUAUUGCAAAAACAUAAUCAGAAUGCUUUUUCUUUCAGUAUUCUGUUAGUAGCAUGUUUAAGCCGUCAUCACAUGGGUAGGAGAAAUUUUCGGCGCGUAAGUAAAUUAUCACGACUAUGGGUACGGUUCCUGUUAUGUAGUUGCGAUACACAUUUUCCAAAAUUUGGGUGUACAUUUCAUGUGACCCGACUUCUACUUUCCAACAAGGUUAAAUAGAACGUGCCGUGAACCGCGGGUGCAUUUCAUAUAGUGUGGCUUACGAUGUGUUUUAAAUAACCUUGAAAUUUCCUGAAAUAUUAAAAGCGGCUAAAAAGUUAAAAGGGCACGUAAGUUUAAAAUGUGUAAUUAAAUCAGAUAUUUAGGCCAAUUAUUAAUAGUUAAGCGGUCAUGCUAGAACUACGGAACUCGGAAAUGCCUAACAGCUUCUCCCGGGUUAACAGAAUUCUUUACCCGAAUUUCUGUGUUUGCAGACCAUAAAUAAGAGUCAACUUCCUCGAUUCAGAAUUUUAAACCGGUGACUUCGGACACCAUAAAUUAUCCCAAGUGGUGACUCUGAAUUUGAAUAUAAAUAAUCCAGUUUCUAUUGUAACUUAAAUUGGAAAAAACUCCCUUAUACCCCCUUUCGGGGUAGAAAAAGGAGGUGUGACAGCUCUGGCGACUCUACUAGGGACAAGAACCCAGAAUCUCUAGUUCAGGGUUUAAGAAUUUGAGCUUAGAAUAAUUGUUAUAUUUGGCUUUUAUUUAUUAUCUGAUUUUUAUUACAUGCUUGGGCCUAAUGUGCUAAAUGCCACUUUUACUUCUUUGAUAUUAUUUGAACUGUAUAUAAACUGCUACGAAACCCUUCUCUUCUCAUCUUUGGGGAAGUGCACGCUGGAAUGACUUCUUUUUUGUUAGUGUCAUACCUUAAAUUAGAAAGAGGCUCGGACAAGUUACAAAGCCGGAUGGCCUUUUGGUUCCCGGUAUGUAGCCCCCCCUCGGCUCGAGUUGUCCGCUCGGGUGCACAAAUCUAGAACAAUAUACCCAGGUUUUAAACCUAGAAUAACUCAGCCUCAUGCCGGAUCCCUAGUAGGAACCCUUGAUUACAUCAUGUGCAUUUGACUUUGGAGACUCAACACAUGUGUUGGGUCCGUCUAGGAUAGGUGUACCCAAAAAUAAAAGACCAUCUUGAUACAUCUUAUGUUUUAUAUGUUACAUUCUUCAAGGGUAAAAGGGGUCACUUGGCAGACCAAUGUGGGUUGAGGGAACAUGAGAAAGAAAAGAGUGUGAAGUGUAAAAUAAAGCAAGGAGGGCCCAGUUAUAAUUUUCUUUCACGCUUUUUCAAGAAAAGACCAAAAAAAUAAAAAUAAAAAAAUCCAAAAAGAUUUUGUACUUUCCCAUUAUUCUUAUUUUUUUUUUUUAAAAAACAGAAAAAAGAGGAAAAAGAAAAUUCAAAAAAAGUUUACAUAUUUCAUCAUUUUUCAAAACAAAAGACAAAAAAAUAUUUUCUCUAAAUUAGUUGUAUUUUUUAAUUCUCGCCAGUAUCCAAUCUGCUCGAACUACGCAUACCUGAUUCUCGUCUUUUAGGGCGUGAUAUGUAGACAACCCACAUAGGGUCCGGUCUUCCUGCUAAAUCUUAAGUUCUUGGCUUUGCGGAGUCUUAGCCAAUCUUGCAUUUUUAGCCACUUUUAGCCACAUAGACUAAUUUUAUAAAAAUAGUCACAACCAUGUCUUGCAUGUGUCCAAGAGGAAGGGUUAUUGGCUCACAUAGUGUUCUAGGUCUUUAACAUUAUUUGGUCUUGAUUUUCUCAUACAGGUGUGGGUCUACUUAUCAGAGUUUGAGCAUGACAGACACCCCGGGACCAUCCAGUCAGGAGCGCUCAUUCAGGAGUUGCUUACGGAGAUUUUAUUUUUAUGUUUUGAGUCUCUUCUUCAUUUUAUGUUGUCUUUUACUUUCUAGUUUUGUACAGUAAUGUCGAGUGUUUUGUUAUUGUACUUUCUACUUUGUAUUUGAAAAAGUGUGUUGUAACUCAAAAAUCCAAAAAAAAAAAAAGGUUUUGCGUUUUAUAUUUUCGCUAGAAGUUUUCUUUAGAAUACUAAUUCUAGAAAUUAAAAAAAUUUCUUUUGAGGUGCUU